UUGAAUGAACUUGGCUCGGUUGCAGCUGGUCCUCUAGAGGGCAUGUGCUCGCCGUGUCAUCUUUAUCUCUCCACCUGUGCACCUUUUGUAGACCUGGAUUAGUUACUUUCCGAGGAAACUCGGUCGGGAGGAUUGCUUUCACAAGCUCUCCUUGCAAUUAACCCAGGCCUACGUUUUCAUAUACCCCAAAGAAUGUAACAGAAUGUAUUAUAUUGGCCUUGUGCCUAUAAACUAUAUA
RNAcentral lists this unclassified non-coding RNA (238 nucleotides) under uncultured Psilocybe. Its description in RNAcentral is "sequence contains ITS1". Lineage: Eukaryota; Fungi; Basidiomycota; Agaricomycetes; Agaricales; Strophariaceae. The record is from RNAcentral.